This 1425-nucleotide long non-coding RNA is filed under the name Numida meleagris (helmeted guineafowl). Its description in RNAcentral is "lncRNA (ENSNMEG00000019606.1)". The record is from RNAcentral. Lineage: Eukaryota; Metazoa; Chordata; Aves; Galliformes; Numididae.
CUACAUGGAUCCCAGCCACACGCUGCAGAGCCUGCUUCAGAGGAGAGGACAACAGCAAGAGGCUGGCACACCUCCAGAGAUGCUUCCAGCCAGGACUUCCAGAGACAUGGAAUAUUCUUUAGAAAAAGUGGCGGCUCGGAGGCUCCGCGAGGUUCUCCGAACCCUCUCCGAGCCUCCAAGCCGACACUUUUUCCAAGGCUUCUUUAUUUUUCCAGGUCUGCCUAUUCGAGAGAGGUCCGGGAUGUGCCAUCUUCGGAGUGGAAGCUGCCAAGCGGGACCUCUUUCCUGCUCUCUAGUGCUGGCCAGCCACACUGCACCCUUCGCGCAGAACCCCAGUUCCCGUGCUGCGAGAGGACGGCUCGCACACAGCCGCCCGCUCUCCUAUCCCUGCUCCUAUCCCCGACGGGAGGUGCGGGACUCCGGGACAGCGCGGUGCCGGGCGCGCCCCGAUCCCGCAGCCGGCACCCUCUACCCCCCGAUCCCGCCACCGCCUGUUUCCAUGGAAACCGCGCAGUGACUCAGGACUUUGGGACCAGCUGGAAACCGCAACCGAGAGCGGCAGCCGCCCGGGGGGGCGAGGAGGGCGGGGAGCGGGGCGCGGCCGCCAGUGUGCCCGGGCGCGCUCCCGGCGGCGCGGAGCGGUACGAGGUGCGGGACGAGAAGCUCUCUCCCUGCACCCUCGCUUCCGCAACACCCGGCGGGCAGCGCUGCAGCGGGCUCCGCUGGGAGCGGGUCCCCGUCGUGCUCCGGGCACGGGAACCGCGGGGCUCACGGCUCCGCCGCUACAACGAGCGGCGCUUCGGGCGCAGCGCUCCUUCCCCGAACGCCGCGGCUGCGCUCCCUCCGUCCGGGCGCGAAGAUCCGCAGCGCUGCAGAACAACUCUCGGCCGGGCACCCGCCGCCGCUCCCGGUGUCCCCCGACUUCUCCCCGCGACGGGACGCGUUGCGGAAGGGCUGCGGGGCGGCAACCCACGCGGUCAGGACGGUUUAGUCGGGCCCGCGCCUCUGCGCACCCCCGCAGCCCACCCGCCCGGGGCAGAGGCACGGCCGAGCGGCGCGGCUCAGCGCCCGGCAGUGGGACCGCGGCAGAAGGAUCCUGGCGGGCGGCUGCGAGCGCUCAGCACCGCCGCACUCCGCGCCCCCUCCGGCCGCGGCUCCCCCCGCUCUCCACGUGCACAGCCGCUCCCACGGCACUUCCCGAAGGACAGGGCUCGGGGCGCCGCGCUCGGAACCGCUCGCUCCUCCCACGUCUCCUGUGCCCCGACCCCAUCCCGGCCACGUUUCCGAGGGACCGAGAGAUCGUUCGCACUGCGCGCACCCCGCAGGUCGCUGCCCGCUCGGAGCAGCACCGAAAUCGCAGAGCUUGCCGCUGAGGUUUCUUCUUUUCUCCUCCUCCUGGCAUUCGGCAUUCGCCUUCCCAGUUAA